This 253-nucleotide ribosomal RNA is filed under the name uncultured bacterium. RNAcentral describes it as "partial 16S ribosomal RNA". It matches the Rfam family "Bacterial small subunit ribosomal RNA", at positions 524 to 776 of the family's 1533-position model. The record is from RNAcentral.
UACGUAGGGUGCAAGCGUUGUUCGGAAUUACUGGGCGUAAAGGGCUCGUAGGCGGCCAACUAAGUCGGAUGUGAAAUCCCCAGGCUUAACCUGGGAACUGCAUCCGAUACUGGAUGGCUUGAAUUCGGGAGAGGGAUGCAGAAUUCCAGGUGUAGCGGUGAAAUGCGUAGAUAUCUGGAGGAAUACCGGUGGCGAAGGCGGCAUCCUGGACCGACAUUGACGCUGAGGAGCGAAAGCUAGGGGAGCAAACGGG